Molecule: long non-coding RNA, 951 nt
Organism: Panthera uncia (snow leopard)
Lineage: Eukaryota; Metazoa; Chordata; Mammalia; Carnivora; Felidae
Exons: 3
Source: RefSeq, a predicted model, not a curated record
CCCAAAUUUGCGUCUAGGCCAAUUCAACCUGGGCAACAUUGAGCGUUACACUGGAAUCCAGAACUACACUUCAAAAGUGGUGACCACAGACUACAACCAGUUUGCCAUACUGUACUUCAAGAAAGUUCACGACAACCAGGAGUACAUCAAGGUCGUCCUCUAUGGGAGGACCAAGGAGGUGCCUUCUGUACCGAAGGCAAUCUUCAUCAGCUUCAUCAAAUCCCUGGGCCUCACUGACGACCACAUCAUCUUCCCUAUCCCCAAUGGUAAUCACCAGCUGGGCAGAGGAGAAAGGCACAUGGGGACUGUCCAGGCCUGAUGUUGCCUCACUAGGGAAGGGGGGAGAGGAGGGACCCAGGCCCCUGCUGUGGUCACUGGAGCCCCAGGAGCCACUUCAGUUUCGGGAAGAUGCUGCCACACCCAGGGUUCUGGUUCCCAAGUAUUCCUCCUUCACAAGAGCUCAGGCCUGCCCACAUGAGAAUUGCAGGCCUGGGGCCAAGUUAACUCAUUCUCCUGACCUGGCCACAUCCCCCUCCACCCAGGCCAGUUUUUCCUGGGUCACCUCCCCCUUUGCCCUGGGGCUGGCUCACUACGGACUUGGGAGGUGCCCUUGUCCUCAGGCAUCCUGGUCUGAGCAGGUCCCUCCCCAAGGCUGAGGGUGUGUCAGGACUCAGCAGGUAAACAGGCAGAAGGCUUGGUGCCCAAUCAGAACUGUGGCUGGGCCUCACCUGCCUCCUUUGGAGAAUGGGUGUCACCCAGGUCUGCUUGUCCUCAGGCCUCUCCUCCAGUCCCUGCCCCAUCAUCCAGCCCUCUGCUGUACCAUCUAUGAAAGGAGACCCAGAGCUUCUGUGGCUAGACUAGGCUGAGGCCCAGCGCAGCCCAGGGGCAGUGCAGGGGUCCUGGAGGUCAGGGACCCCACAAACACAUCCUUGCCCAUGCUGACCACUCUGU